This 207-nucleotide ribosomal RNA is filed under the name uncultured bacterium. RNAcentral describes it as "partial 16S ribosomal RNA". It matches the Rfam family "Bacterial small subunit ribosomal RNA", at positions 568 to 774 of the family's 1533-position model. The record is from RNAcentral.
CGCGUAGGCUGUUGAGUUAGUUAAUUGUGAAAUCCCAAAGCUUAACUUUGGAACUGCAAUUAAAACUGCUCGACUAGAGUUUGAUAGAGGAAAGCGGAAUACAUAGUGUAGAGGUGAAAUUCGUAGAUAUUAUGUAGAACACCAGUUGCGAAGGCGGCUUUCUGGAUCAACACUGACGCUGAGGCGCGAAAGUAUGGGUAGCAAAGA